RNAcentral lists this long non-coding RNA (652 nucleotides) under Mytilus galloprovincialis (Mediterranean mussel). Lineage: Eukaryota; Metazoa; Mollusca; Bivalvia; Mytilida; Mytilidae. The record is from RNAcentral.
AAAAAUAAUUUGUCGAUAAGUUAUACGGCUUUUGAAAAUAAGUGAAAAUAAGCCAAAAUCAAAAUUUAUAAUAUGACCUUGACCUUUGACCUUGACCUUAUUUUCAUUUUUUUGGACCAAGGAUCUCAAAUCAAAAGACCCUAGGUCUCUAUCACUUAUGGUUUACCAGUUAGAAAUGCAUAUUCUUAUAUCAAACAUAAAAGGGGGAUAACUCUCAUAUGGAAUCUAUAUACGGCUUCGGUCAAAAUAAAACAGAACAUCCUGAGGAUAUAACGAGCAAUUUGGAAAAAUAAAUUUGUCGGUUUCUUAUACGGUUGCGAAGCCUUAGAGAUAACAAGAAAAACAGUGUUCGGGAGAUAACUCUUAUUUGGGAAAGUAUUUGGUUAAAAGAGUUGUUUCAAAAGCGUAUAAACUGUUCGAUAUCAUAUUCCAAAAAUCUAAGCGACAUCUUGCGAAACAAAAAAACAGCGAAGGAAACAAAUUAGGCGGAAGAAAAAAAAAAAAAUAAUAAUAAUAAUAAUAAUAAUAAUCAGAACAAAUACAAUAGGUCUUUCAACUGAAAGGUUGAAAGACCUAAUAAUAAUAAUAAUCAGAACAAACCCUAUAGGUCUUUCAACUGAAAAGUUGAAAGACCUAAUAAUAAUCAGAACAA